CAUGCAAGUCGAACGGCAGCAACGGGUGCUUGCAACCUGGUGGCGAGUGGCAACGGGUGAGUAAUGCAUCGGAACGUGCCUAUUAGAGGGGGAUAACGCUUCGAAAGGAGUGCUAAUACCGCAUAAUCUCUGAGGAGGAAAGCAGGGGAUCUUAUGACCUUGCGCUGAUAGAGCGGCCGAUGUCGGAUUAGCUAGUUGGUGAGGUAAAGGCUCACCAAGGCGACGAUCCGUAGCGGGUCUGAGAGGAUGAUCCGCCACACUGGGACUGAGACACGGCCCAGACUCCUACGGGAGGCAGCAGUGGGGAAAUUUUUGGACAAUGGGCGCAAGCCUGAUCCAGCCAUGCCGCGUGAGUGAAGAAGGCCUUCGGGUUGUAAAGCUCUUUUGUCAGGGAAGAAACAGCAGCUCUAACACAGUCUGCGAAUGACGGUACCUGAAGAAUAAGCACCGGCUAACUACGUG
Molecule: ribosomal RNA, 462 nt
Filed under: uncultured bacterium
Lineage: Bacteria
Description: bacterial SSU rRNA
Rfam family: Bacterial small subunit ribosomal RNA
Source: RNAcentral